Phalacrocorax carbo (great cormorant) is the source of this 782-nucleotide non-coding RNA. The record is from RefSeq and is a predicted model, not a curated record. NCBI's taxonomy places the organism in Eukaryota, Metazoa, Chordata, Aves, Suliformes, Phalacrocoracidae.
GCCAAGCCAACAGGUAUUUUUCAGCUGAAAAACACUGGUUAGAUUUAAUGUAAUUCUUUAAUAAAAGCAUUUAUUUUUCUUCUUCCUUUUCUAAAGUAAUUCUUUAAUGAAAGACACUUCUGCCCUUGCUUCAAGACUGAAACCACUGUGAAGACCAGCAGGAUUGUGAGAGGAUGUUGGGAGGCUAUGGUGCACGUGGUGCUGCGGACACCCCUCCUCCUAGAGGCUGCUCACCAGGAAGGACCACAUCCUCCCACUGUGUAUGAGGCUGAGCCCUUUGCCUCCAGUGUUUCCACACCUGCACUGAGCACUUCUGCAGGGGAGCAGGUGGCUCUGAGGACCUGCUUGCCUUCAGCUAUCACUAAUGGAUGGCAAAACUUCAACAUCAGGUGAAAGGCCUUUCUUGGAUUUGCUACUUUGUUGGCUAAUAGCAUGCUUCCCUUCCCAAUUUUGCUCGGGUGCCAGGAUAGAGGACUGAAAUGUCACAUAAUGGGGGUCCAGCAGCAUGUUGCCAGGCAAUGCUAUAAGGUAGCCUCUUGCUAUCACUUGAUCCUGCUGCAGUUUCCACAGCUGAUGGCUUCCAGCAGGAUUUCAGUCACUCCCAUCCAAAACUCACCAAAACUGUCCUGGAGAGAUUCCUAUUGCCGUGUCCAACAGGACUUCUCUUCCUGACUCUUCUCAAAACGGAGAAAGGAAAGUCUUUUUAGAGGUCUCUGAAGAAACUUGGAAGAACUAUCACAAUAUCCAGACAGCAUAAAACUUUGCAGGGAGGCUGUCAAUGA